UUUAUAUCGUUCUCACAUCCGCUA
Molecule: non-coding RNA, 24 nt
Filed under: Arabidopsis thaliana (thale cress)
Lineage: Eukaryota; Viridiplantae; Streptophyta; Magnoliopsida; Brassicales; Brassicaceae
Source: RNAcentral